AAACCAUGCUGUGUACACUUCCGCAAGAGGUCCUUAAAUCGAUCCCAUGUCUCAAACAAGGAUUCAGGCUCCAUCCGAUCAAACGACGAUAUUUCAUCUUUGCUUGU
Molecule: small nucleolar RNA, 107 nt
Organism: Dioscorea cayenensis subsp. rotundata (Guinea yam)
Lineage: Eukaryota; Viridiplantae; Streptophyta; Magnoliopsida; Dioscoreales; Dioscoreaceae
Source: RefSeq, a predicted model, not a curated record